GUCCACGCCGUAAACGAUGGGUACUAGGCGCCGGGGAGCGACCCCUUCGGUGCCGUCGCUAACGCAAUAAGUACCCCGCCUGGGGAGUACGGCCGCAAGGCUGAAACUCAAAGCAAUUGACGGGGCCCGCACAAGCGGUGGAGCAUGUGGUUUAAUUCGAAGCAACGCGAAGAACCUUACCUGGGCUUGACAUGCACGGGAAAGCCGGUGGAAACAUCGGCCCCUCUUCGGAGUCCGUGCACAGGUGCUGCAUGGCUGUCGU
Molecule: ribosomal RNA, 262 nt
Filed under: uncultured bacterium
Lineage: Bacteria
Description: partial 16S ribosomal RNA
Rfam family: Bacterial small subunit ribosomal RNA
Source: RNAcentral